This 480-nucleotide ribosomal RNA is filed under the name uncultured bacterium. Its description in RNAcentral is "bacterial SSU rRNA". It matches the Rfam family "Bacterial small subunit ribosomal RNA", at positions 29 to 537 of the family's 1533-position model. The record is from RNAcentral.
AACGAACGCUGGCGGCAUGCCUAACACAUGCAAGUCGAACGAGACCUUCGGGUCUAGUGGCGCACGGGUGCGUAACACGUGGGAAUUUGCCUCGGGGUAUGGAAUAACUCAGGGAAACUUGAGCUAAUACCAUAUAAUGUCUUCGGACCAAAGAUUUAUCGCCCUGAGAUAAGCCCGCGUAGGAUUAGCUAGUUGGUGGGGUAAAGGCUCACCAAGGCGACGAUCCUUAGCUGGUCUGAGAGGAUGAUCAGCCACACUGGGACUGAGACACGGCCCAGACUCCUACGGGAGGCAGCAGUGAGGAAUAUUGGACAAUGGGCGCAAGCCUGAUCCAGCCAUGCCGCGUGCAGGAUGACGGUCCUAUGGAUUGUAAACUGCUUUUGUACAGGAAGAAACACUGGUUCGUGAACCAGCUUGACGGUACUGUAAGAAUAAGGAUCGGCUAACUCCGUGCCAGCAGCCGCGGUAAAGUGACUACUG